AAUAAAUUUCAAUGUUGCAGACGCUCAUCGUGCAUUAUCAAAGUGGUCAUUGUGUUGUGAUGUGAUGUCAAGUUUGUGUCGAAUAAUACUGAUUUAAAAUAUAUUCAAGUCAACUGUGGACGUUAAUUAGAAAUUGAUUCAAUUUUUGUCAACAAAAUGAAAUCUACUCGUGGAUUGGUGACUAUUUUUCUAUUUGCUGAAUGUAUAUUCCUGGCGACUUCGGCAUCUCUCAAUGGAACUGGACCAUCUUCCGCCUCCGCCGAAAAUGUCGACAGUCCAUCAGCAACGGAAGUAGUUUUCGAUGACUCUGCAUCCGAAGUCUCAAACGACAACUUGGAAGCCACGACGGUGCAGCCGUUAUCGGAGAGAUUAGAAGAAGCGGAUGGAAAUGUGUACCAAACCACGUCCAUCCCUUGCACUAACGACAUUGAGGGUCCAGCUUGCCCAUCGGAUGCUGUGGCCGGAGACACGGUUCCGUUGUCCGCCACUCUGAUCACUUCGAACGACGCCUCUGCCGACGAGGAGAAGGGGACAACCGUUCAACCUUGAAGAGAUGCAUGACUGCAGACGAAUGACGUGAAUAAUAAGGAUAAUAAAUCUACGGUGACCAACCACAGUCAAUUUAAAAUGAUGCUAAUAGUGUAUCCUUGCUGCUAUAAUAACACUGAUCAAAGUGGACACUUUUAUGAUUAAAUUACAUUACGCUGCGCUGCUGUUUGUAACCAACCAUUUUGUAAAGUUCCUACGUAUUACAUUGUGUAUAAGAAUAUAGUUGAAUAAUAUAAAGUACAUAACUCUUGAUAACCUUCGUAAGUUACAAAAGUCGCAACUUUGUCGAUAGAGCGAAAUCGAAAGGGCUCAAGCAUUUGCCAUUUUGGGCUCUUCUUUAUUUCAUGUCUUGAAUUUAUAAAUAGCAAAAUUGCAUUUUGCAAAUACAAGCUAUAGGUUGCUGUUUUAUGCAUCGUGUUGUAGACAUGCACAUUCGUACAUUUAAGUAUUGAUAUUCACAGCAAAUCCAAUUUAAAGUUUGCCAUGAAUUUACGUACAGAUAGCUGUUUAAAUUGAGGCGAAAAUGAGAAUAAGUAGUCGAAGUAAUAAUUUGUUUUCAAUACAACAAAUGCUCAUUCAAGGUUUGAGUGUCACUUGUUAAUAUUUUCAGUAAUAUCGUUCAACCAGGCAAUCGAUAUAAUGAGACCUCCAUUAGAAAAGAUAAUGAGGAAGUUUCAUGAUCACUUUAAUUGAUCAAAUGUACACAAAGUCAUUUUAUCUGGAUACCAGAGGAGUUCAAAAAAUGCCUCUGGAAUCUACUUCCUUUGCUACCUAUGGUAUUCCUUGAUAUGAAUUAAAUUGCGUACACAAUACACAUGUACAUUUAACAGCACCUUCAAUCAGAUAAUUCCUCAAGCUCGGAGGUAAACUGAAGAUUUUGUAUCAAAUUGGCUUAAAAUGAGCAAUUAGAAUUUGAUGGACAUUUAUGAUUCAUCUACAUAUAUUUUGUUUAUGCACAUAUACUUAAUCCGUACAUGAAAACACCACAUAUUCAUAGCUAUUUGUUUACUUACAUACAUAGUUUACAACAACGUGGAAAUACUUAUUUAAUAUGCAUCAAUAUCCUGUUAUUUGAUAUAAAUAAAA
Molecule: RNA transcript, 1635 nt
Organism: Folsomia candida
Lineage: Eukaryota; Metazoa; Arthropoda; Collembola; Entomobryomorpha; Isotomidae
Exons: 3
Source: RefSeq, a predicted model, not a curated record